This 119-nucleotide ribosomal RNA is filed under the name Escherichia coli. Its description in RNAcentral is "partial 16S ribosomal RNA". It matches the Rfam family "Bacterial small subunit ribosomal RNA", at positions 1 to 110 of the family's 1533-position model. Lineage: Bacteria; Pseudomonadati; Pseudomonadota; Gammaproteobacteria; Enterobacterales; Enterobacteriaceae. The record is from RNAcentral.
UUAAAUUGAAGAGUUUGAUCAUGGCUCAGAUUGAACGCUGGCGGCAGGCCUAACACAUGCAAGUCGAACGGUAACAGGAAGCAGCUUGCUGUUUUGCUGACGAGUGGCGGACGGGUGAG